Molecule: long non-coding RNA, 2180 nt
Organism: Mobula hypostoma (lesser devil ray)
Lineage: Eukaryota; Metazoa; Chordata; Chondrichthyes; Myliobatiformes; Myliobatidae
Exons: 4
Source: RefSeq, a predicted model, not a curated record
CAAUUAACUGACUAACCCAUACAUCUUUGGAAUGUGGGAGGAAACCCAAGCGGUUACGGGAAGAAUUAUACAAAUUCCUUACAGACAGCAGCAGGAAUUGAACACUGACUGCUGGCACUGUAAUAGUUAUGUUAACUGCCACCCUACUGAGCCAUCCCAUCUCCAGUGAGAGGCAGGGCUAAAGCAGAGAGCAAGUAUCCUUCUCGCAGGGUCAAAAUGUUAAUACUCAACUGGAAUAUGCUGCCUGGGAUCACGGUGGAAGCAGAUAUAAAAUGUAUUUAAGAGGCUCUUGGAUGCGUGCAUGAAUAUGCAGAGAAGGUGAGGGGGGAUUAUGGACCAUGUGCAAGCAGAAAGGAUUAGAUGUCAUCAGCUUAAUUUAGUUCAGCACAGCUGUGCUGUACUGUUCUAUAUCCUAUGUAAGAUAUCCCGGCUGACAGGAUUUGAACCGAUGCUCCUGGAUGAGAACUCUGGUUUCUACCCCAGAGACUUAACCACAUCAUUAGAUCAUUGGCCAGAGCAGUUAGGGAGUGUGGCAGUGCAGAACAGAAGUAUUAUGUUACUGGACUAACAAUUUAGAGUUCAAAUUGCAGGAUCAUUAAUCAGAGGUUUAAGAGUCCAGAAAAAAUAAACUGAUAGUAAUUACAGAUUCUUCCAAUAUCACAACUGCUUCAUAAACAUACUGGAUUUGGGAGCUCGGGCCUGAUUUGGCCAGGGCAUGUAUGUAAACCCAGGCAAGGUCAGCAGUCAACUACCAUUCCACUUUCACUAAGGUUACUAGAAGAGCCUGCGUCCGUGUGUUUGUACCCAUGUCCGAGUGUGACUGUGAGCGAGGGUGUAUACAGUCCCUUGUCAUUCAGCCCAUCAUAGCUCAGAAAACAUCAAGCCAUUGCCCUCUGGAACUGAAGCCUCACCCAAGCCUGGCCAAGGUCACCCUGUCCAACUGCCACAUCCCAGUGACCAGCAGUCAGAGACACACAAGGGACGCUGGGACAUCAGCAGGUCAGAAGGGUUCCUGGAAGUCGCCCGCUUCUGGAGCUGACACACAGAUGGUGGUGCGGGCGAGAUAGACCCACUUGAGCCUUAUCAGGCUGCUCUUCUCAAGGCAUUGCUUGAGGCAAAACCUCCACCCUAACCACAUCAAGUCCGCCUGCUCAUAACAUGCCAGCCUCUCCCCACAUCUAUCCUUAUCAGUACCAAGCAAGCCGUGGGACACUGAGUGAAUAGCUAAUUAGAGAACCCUCUUUUGGGGUAUGCAAAUGAAGCCAGCCCAUAAUAAGGAUGUACCAGAGAGAGAGGUGUGAAUGUGCAAGAAGGCGAAUGUGUGAGAAGGCAAGAGAGAGAGAGAGAAUGAGAGAGUGCAUGUGACAGAGAGUGAGAGACAGAGAGAGACUGGGGAAGGGUUUGGAUUGGAGGGGGGGAGGUGGAGAAAUGGAGAGAAAGCAAGAAGGACCAAAGAAAUAAGAAGUCAAGUCUGCGGCGCUCUCAAUCCUGAGGCACCGGUCAGUGGUAAAACCAGAGUGUGGGAGCCACAAAGCCUGCAUUGGGAGAGGGCGUCAUUUCUCAGGAGAUGGAGAGUGAGAAAGAAACGGGCCAAUUAAAAGCAGGAGACUUCUCUUCCUGAUAUGAACCCCAACUCUCCCAGCGGCUAAAAGCAGGGUGAAGUCAGUUAAACCCCAGAGUGGCGAACAGUGAGGAACACAGCUCAGAGACCUGAGACGUCAACACCGGCUACAAAGCAAAGGGUGGUCACGAUCAGAGCAACCGUCUUCUCAAAGCUUCCUUCACUCCAGGGAAAACAGAUCCAGUCAAUCGAAUCUCCCUUGAUAACUCAAGACCUCCAGUAUGCACGGGACUUAUCGCUGGACUCUGAGGGGGUGUCGGUUAAACCGUUACCAUUACUUGUCUAAGUACUGGUAAGGGUUAUACCGCUGCUCCCAGACUCUUCUCAGCAGCUGGAAGGUGAAGAGACAACAAAGCACAAGGACCCAGCGGAAGCAAUGACAAACUGUGAAUUUCUAUUAGUUUGUGACUUCAACCGAAAUAAAAUAAAAACUGCAGGAAUAAUGGAAGUGGAUAUACAAGUGAUAAAAAGAUACCACGUGGAACGGGCCCUUCCGGCACAACGAGCUGCGCCACCCAGCAACCCACCUGGCCGAAUCGCUGGACAAUGUACAAUGACC